Molecule: long non-coding RNA, 773 nt
Filed under: Olea europaea subsp. europaea
Lineage: Eukaryota; Viridiplantae; Streptophyta; Magnoliopsida; Lamiales; Oleaceae
Source: RNAcentral
CUGUCAUCCAUUUUCAGAUCUUCUGUCUGGUGCUUCUAUUUAGCUUGAAAAUCUAACAAAAGUUAAAUGUUCAGCAGGUUGGACGGUCGUCAUGUUGUAUUCGGAAAGGUGCUGCCCGGAAUAGAUGUGGUGUAUAAGAUAGAAGCCGAAUGCAACUAGAGUGGAACAACCAAAAGCAAAGUUGUGAUUGCAGACAGUGGUGAACUUCCCUUGUAAUCAGCUUGUACUUGAACUUGUCAGUUUUACCCUUCUACUCACUUCUACUUACUGCGGGUUAUGCAUCUUAAUUUACAUACCUGAAUUAUGUUAUUUAGGAAAAUGAAAUAGGUACCAAAAAAGUACACUUUUCAAUUUGGCACCUAAUAUUAUGAGUCCAUAAGGCAUGUAGAAUGUAUAUUAGGAAAGAAGAGAGGAAACAGAUGCGAUUUCUCUUACAUUGUUGAUAGAGAUCAUUAGGGGAUCAAUGUUAAUUUUCUAGGAAUUUCUUUAUGCUGAUAAGAACACGAACACUGUUGUCUCAAAGGUGUUCAAGGAGCUAAAAUUGAUUAUCAAGAACCCGCAGAUUUAGAGCUUACGAUGGAUAUUGUUACCAAGCUUCAGAAGAUUCGUUUUACAUUUUCUUGAUCUGUUCAGUGACCUUUCCGUUAGUUAGCAUUUAUACAAUUUCUCUCUCUCAUAAAUGCAGUAGGAAAGAAGACAGAAAAAUAGCAAGAAGUCGUAAUUGCAUAGUGAAGAAGUUUCAAAGGCACCCAGAAUGAUUUUUUUCUGAAGUG